UGGAUCCAGACUUUGAUCAUGGCUCAGGAUAAACGCUGGCGGCGCACAUAAGACAUGCAAGUCGAACGAACUUAACCUUUAGUUUACUAAUGGAGCGGCUAGUGGCGGACUGGUGAGUAACACGUAAGCAACCUGCCUAUCAGAGGGGAACAACAGUUAGAAAUGACUGCUAAUACCGCAUAUACCUAAGCAUCGCAUGAUGCAAUAGGGAAAGGAGCAAUCCGCUGAUAGAUGGGCUUGCGUCUGAUUAGCUAGUUGGUGGGGUAAAGGCCUACCAAGGCAACGAUCAGUAGCCGGACUGAGAGGUUGAACGGCCACAUUGGGACUGAGAUACGGCCCAGACUCCUACGGGAGGCAGCAGUCGGGAAUAUUGCGCAAUGGAGGAAACUCUGACGCAGUGACGCCGCGUGCAGGAAGAAGGUUUUCGGAUUGUAAACUGCUUUAGACAGGGAAGAUAAUGACAGUACCUGUAGAAUAAGCUCCGGCUAACUACGUGCCAGCAGCCGCGGUAAUACGUAGGGAGCAAGCGUUAUCCGGAUUUAUUGGGUGUAAAGGGUGCGUAGACGGGAAGGCAAGUUGGUUGUGAAAUCCCUCGGCUUAACUGAGGAACUGCAACCAAAACUAUCUUUCUUGAGUGCUGGAGAGGAAAGUGGAAUUCCUAGUGUAGCGGUGAAAUGCGUAGAUAUUAGGAGGAACACCAGUGGCGAAGGCGACUUUCUGGACAGUAACUGACGUUGAGGCACGAAAGUGUGGGGAGCAAACAGGAUUAGAUACCCUGGUAGUCCACACCGUAAACGAUGGAUACUAGGUGUAGGUGAUGAAUAAUCAUCUGUGCCGUCGCAAACGCAGUAAGUAUCCCACCUGGGGAGUACGGCCGCAAGGUUGCAACUCAAAUGAAUUGACGGA
RNAcentral lists this ribosomal RNA (906 nucleotides) under uncultured Bacillota bacterium. RNAcentral describes it as "bacterial SSU rRNA". It matches the Rfam family "Bacterial small subunit ribosomal RNA", at positions 1 to 917 of the family's 1533-position model. Lineage: Bacteria; Bacillati; Bacillota. The record is from RNAcentral.